Molecule: ribosomal RNA, 254 nt
Filed under: uncultured bacterium
Lineage: Bacteria
Description: partial 16S ribosomal RNA
Rfam family: Bacterial small subunit ribosomal RNA
Source: RNAcentral
AACGUAGGAGGCAAGCGUUAUCCGGAGUUACUGGGCGUAAAGCGUGCGUAGGUGGUUCGGUAAGUCGGAUGUGAAAUCUCCAGGCUCAACCUGGAGGGGUCAUUCGAUACUGCCGUGACUAGAGUUCGGUAGGGGAGUGUGGAAUUCCUGGUGGAGCGGUGAAAUGCGCAGAUAUCAGGAGGAACACCAAUUGCGAAGGCAGCUCGCUGGGACGUUACUGACGCUGAGACGCGAAAGCGUGGGGAGCAAACAGG